UCUGGUGACUAUAGCAAGGAGGUCACACCUGUUCCCAUGCCGAACACAGAAGUUAAGCUCCUUAGCGUCGAUGGUAGUCGAACUUACGU
This 89-nucleotide ribosomal RNA is filed under the name Acinetobacter baumannii. RNAcentral also lists the same sequence under 1 other name. Lineage: Bacteria; Pseudomonadati; Pseudomonadota; Gammaproteobacteria; Moraxellales; Moraxellaceae. The record is from RNAcentral.